This 72-nucleotide transfer RNA is filed under the name Camelus bactrianus (Bactrian camel). It matches the Rfam family "tRNA". Rfam says of the family: Transfer RNA (tRNA) molecules are approximately 80 nucleotides in length. Their secondary structure includes four short double-helical elements and three loops (D, anti-codon, and T loops). RNAcentral also lists the same sequence under 1 other name. Lineage: Eukaryota; Metazoa; Chordata; Mammalia; Artiodactyla; Camelidae. The record is from Rfam by way of RNAcentral.
GAGGGUAGAGCUCAGUGAUGAGAGUGCUUACUUAGUGUGCAUGAGGUCCUGGGUUCAAUCCCACUACCUCCA